AAAUGAUUGAGUAGAGAGCAAGAACAGAUAACAGAAGCGGAUGCAGAGGUUUCAAGCGCUUGACAGUUAAUCAUACUUAUAAUUUCGUGGAUCCUGAUUCCAGUGCAAACACCCAAAACGUGGAGCGAGCGUGGCGUGAUAUGAUACCAAAAUAUGGCCGCCGUGAUUGCACGUGAUAUGAUGCCAAAAUAUGGCCGCCGACAUUGCACGUGAUGUGAUGCCAAAAUAUGGCCGCCGUGAUUAUUACAUGGAUGGUUUCAUCGCGGAAUUUCUGUGUAGACGCCG
This is a long non-coding RNA of Diorhabda carinulata, 285 nucleotides long. RefSeq lists it as uncharacterized. The transcript is spliced from 2 exons. The record is from RefSeq and is a predicted model, not a curated record. NCBI's taxonomy places the organism in Eukaryota, Metazoa, Arthropoda, Insecta, Coleoptera, Chrysomelidae.